This 274-nucleotide ribosomal RNA is filed under the name uncultured bacterium. RNAcentral's name for it is "partial 16S ribosomal RNA". It matches the Rfam family "Archaeal small subunit ribosomal RNA", at positions 473 to 747 of the family's 1478-position model. The record is from RNAcentral.
AAACCAGCACCUCAAGUGGUCAGGAUGAUUAUUGGGCCUAAAGCAUCCGUAGCCGGCUCUGUAAGUUUUCGGUUAAAUCUGUAUGCUCAACAUACAGGCCGCCGGGAAUACUGCAGAGCUAGGGAGUGAGAGAGGUAGACGGUACUCGGGAGGAAGUGGUAAAAUGCUUUGAACUCUCGAUGACCACCUGUGGCGAAGGCGGUCUAUCAGAACACGUCCGACGGUGAGGGAUGAAAGCUGGGGGAGCAAACCGAAUUAGAAACCCGAGUAGUCC